GAGAAAAAUUGGGAGAGAAAAAAAUCUUAACAAGAGGAAUUAGCGAUACAAAAUGGUGACACAUGGACAAGCCAUUUUAAAACACUCUACAACACCGUUCAAAUUGACACAAACUCAGAACAACCCCAAAUUCAUGAGAAGUUGAAUGGAUUACAAAAAGCUAUAAAGGACAAUCAAAAUCCAUUGGACUCCCCAAUUACUGACCAGGAGCUCUAUAAGAAACUUCAGGCCCUCAAAUUUAAAAAAGCAUGCCUACCUGAUGGCAUCCUAAAUGAGAUGCUCAAACUCACUAGUGCAAAAUUUCAAUUGGCUAUAUUAAAACUGUUUAAUUUGAUCCUGAGUGUAGGUUAUUUCCCUGACAUCUGGAAUCAAGGACUCAUAACCCCAAUCUUUAAAAACGGAGACAAAUUUGACCCUAACAAUUACAGAGGCAUUUGCGUGAACAGUAACCUGGGGAAGGUUUUCUGUAGUAUUAUAAAUGUAAGAGUUCUAAACUUCCUUAAUAAGCACAAUGUCUUGAAUAAAAGCCAAAUUGGAUUUAUACCAAAACAUCGCACGACUGAUCAUAUUUACACCCUACACACCCUGAUAGAUAAACAUGUCCACCAAAAUAAUUCCAAAAUAUACGCUUGCUUUAUCGACUUCCAAAAAUCAUUUGAUUCUAUUUGGCAUACAGGAUUGUUUGUCACGAUCGUCUUUGGGUGAGAGAGAGGACCAAGGCGCAGCGUGUGGAAAAUACAUCUUCUCUUUAUUUAGAAGAAGAAAAAACAAAACAAAACAACGAACGUGAAGCUAUAAACGACUAAGUGCAAACAUGCAACAUAGACACAGACACGGAAGACAAUCACCCACAAACAAACAGUGUGAACAGCCAAACUAUAUAUGGUUCUCAAUCAGAGGAAAACGUCAAACACCUGUCCCUGAUUGAGAACCAUAUAAGGCUAAUUACAAGUGACCUAAACAUAGAAACACAAAACAUAGAAUGCCUACCCCAACUCACGCCCUGACCAACUAAACACAUACAAAAAUAACAUAAAACAGGUCAGGAACGUGACACUGUUCUACAAAGUUAUUGAAAGUGGUUUAAGGGGUAAAACAUAUGACAUAAUAAAUCAACGUAUACUGGCAAUACGUGCAGCAUUAAAAUUGGCAAGAAAAUAACUGAAUUCUUUAACCAGGGGCGGGGCCUUCGUCAGGGUUGUAAUCUGAGACCUGCACUCUUCAAUAUUUACAUCAAUGAAUUGGCCCCUAUUCUAGAAAAAUCCUCAGCCCCUGGUGUUAGUCUCCACAAUUCAGAGGUUAAAUGCCUACUUUUCGCAGAUGACCUAUGCCUGCUGUCACCCACAGCACAUGGCCUACAGCAGAGCCCGGACCUGCUAGAGCAGUCCUGCCAGACCUUGUCCCUGUCAGUAAACCCCAAAAAGACUAAAAUAAUGGUUUUCCAGAGAAGAUCCAGAUCUCAGGGAAUUAGACCAAAGUUCUCAAUUGGUACAAAAUCUAUAGAGUACUGCACACACUACAAUUACUUAGGUUUAAAAAUAAGCUCAACUGGACACCUUAAUGAGGCAGUGAAUGAGCUGAGAGAGAAAGCACGCAGGGCAUUCUACGCCAUUAAAAAGCUAAUUCAAAUUGGAAUACCUAUUCAAAUUUGGCUAAAACGAAUGAAAUAUGUCAUUGAACCAAUUGCACUUUAUGGCAGCAAGGUGUGGUUUCCACUUGCAAAACAAGAUUUCAUCAAAUGGGACAAACACCCCAUUGAAACACUGCAUGCAGAGUUCUGUAAGAUUCUCCUACAUGUCCAGAGGAAAACUACAAACAAUGCAUGCAGGGCAGAAUUAGGCCAAUAUCCACUAAUAAUAAAAACUCAAAAAAGAGUAAUUAAGUUUUGGAAACAUCUAAAACACAGUGACCCCCUCUCAUAUCAUUACCAAGUCCUGCAAUGCCAAGAGCUGAGCAAAGAAAAGAGUCCCCUCAUCCAGCUGGUAAGGGGCUGAGUUCACAAACCUGUUCUACUAACACACUGAAGCCUCAGGACCAGAACAUCCAAUCAAUCAGAAUAAACCAAAUUACAACACAGUCAAAAAAACUAUAUUGCUUAUUGGGAAACACAAGCACAAACACAAAGCAAAAUGCAGUGCUAUCUGGCCCUGAAUCGACAGUACACCGUGGCUAAAUAUUUGACCAUGGUUACUGAUCAAAACCUUAGAAUAACCUUGACAAAGUACAGGCUCAGUGAGCACAGCCUUGCCAUUGAGAAGGGUAGACACAGGAAAACCUGGCUCCCUGUAGAGGAAAGGCUGUGCAACCACUGCACAACAGCAGAACCUGAGACGGAGCUGCAUUUCCUGACAAAAUGGAAAAAAUAUAAAACAAUUAGAGAGUGUCAUUUCCACAAAUUUGAAACCCAAAGGGAGAGAGGAGGGCAGAGAGGGGACGUUCACUGAGCCGGAUCUUCUGUCAACUCUCCAGUCUUUACUGUGGAGGUAGAGUUUAAGCUCAGGAAAAGGGUUAAAAAGGCCUUUGCCAUUAGUUUAACUGCCAUGCCUGUUUUGUUCUGACCGUAAACUAUGUCCUGAAUUAGAUAACUGCAUUAUUUCUGAGUUGCUGUGUCAUUGUCGACCUUGGUCAUUUGUCAUCAUUGUACUAAAUCCUCACGUCUCACCUUUUAACGACUGUCUCCUUUUGACAUGUUGGUGAUACCUCAAUUAGAGCGCCUGAAAUGAAACCUUAAAAGAUGAGUUGCCCCACUUAAAAUACUUAGUUGUAUCAACUAAUGUGAUAUAUUUAAAGUUUUGUCAUAUCAACUUGAUUUCCUGAGUUUAAGGCUGUGGUCUAACCAAUGGAUGUAUCUUAUUGGGUGCAUCUUAUCUUUUAAAAUGUAUACUGUAAAUAUUAAAAAUAUUUUUAUAGUGAUCAUUGUCAUAACCAGUAAGGACAAGUAUUGUGUCCAGCAUGAACAGCUAUUUGUUUGGUUCAUAUACAGUAGCUGCCAUUACAUGAAGUGUCAACCAACAUGUAUUUUGUUGACGUUCAAACAAACAGCUCAGCAGUCUUUAUGGGAGUGCCAUUGUUUUUCAAUUCUCGGGUCGACUCUCUUCUCUGUAUACAUCAAUGAUGUCGCUCUUGCUGCUGGUGAUUCUAUGAUCCACGUCUACGCAGACAACACCAUUCUGUAUACCUCUGGCACUUCUUUUGACACUGUGUUAACUAACCUCCAGACAAGCUUCAAUGCCAUACAACUCUCCUUCCGUGGCCUCCAACUGCUCUUAAAUACAAGUAAAACUAAAUACAUGUUAUUCACCCGAUCGCUGCCCACACCCGCCCGCCCAUCCAGCAUCACUACUCUGGACGGUUCUGACUUAGAAUAUGUGGACAACUACAAAUACCUAGGUGUCUGGUAAGACUGUAAGCUCUCCUUCCAGACUCACAUUAAGCAUCUCCAAUCCAAAAUUAAAUCUAGAAUCGGCUUCCUAUUUCGCAACAAAGCCUCCUUCACUCAUGCUGUAUAACAUAACCUCGUAAAACUGACUAUCCUACCGAUCCUCGACUUUGGCGAUGUCAUUUUGCAAAAUAGCCUCCAAUACUCUACACAACAAAUUGGAUGCAGUCUAUCACAGUGCCAUCCGUUUUGUCACCAAAGCCCCAUAUACUACCCACCACUGCGACCUGUGCGCUCUCGUUGGCUGGCCCUCUCGUUGGCUGGCCGCCAAACCCACUGGCUCCAGUCUCUGCUAGGUAAAGCCUCACCUUAUCUCAGCUCACUGGUCACCAUAGCAGCACCCACCCGUAGCACGCGCUCCAGCAGGUAUAUCUCACUGGUCACCCCCAAAGCCAAUUCUUCCUUUGGCCGCCUUUCUUUCCAGUUCUCUGCUGCCAAUGACAGGAACGAACUGCAAAAAUCACUGAAGCUGGAGACUCAUAUCUCCCUCUCUAACUUUAAGCACCAGCUGUCAGAUCACUGCACCUGUACAUAGCCCAUCUGUAAAUUUACCCAUCCAACUACCCCAUCCCCAUACUGUAUUUAUUUAUCUUGCUCUUUUGCACCCCAGUAUCUCUACUUGCACAUUCAUCUUCUGCACAUAUACCAUUCCAGUGUUUAAUUGCUAUAUUGUAAUUAUUUCGCCACCAUGGCCUAUUUAUUGCCUUUACCUCCCUUAUCCUACCUAAUUUGCACACACUGUAUAUAGACUUUUUCUACUGUAUUAUUGAUUGUAUGUUUGUUUACUCCAUGUGUAACUCUGUGUUGUUGUACGUGUUGAACUGCUUUGCUUAAUCUUGGCCAGGUCGCAGUUGUAUAUGACAACUUGUUCUCAACUAGCCUACCUGGUUAAAUAAACGUGAAAUAAAAAAAAAUCACCAAUCAGCAUAGUCUUUGCUUGUGUGUAUCCAUUACGUGCUUAACCAAUUAAAUGAAUGCUAUUAUUAAGAGGUAUUAUGUAUUUGCAUGCAUACAUGAAUGAAUGACUGCCAUGGGGCAUGCCAAUGAAUAGAUGUUCACCAACUGAAUAAAUCCAAAAAGCCAUCACAUUGCAUUUCGACUAGAAUUACAGUAUACAUAGCACCUCUGCACAACAAAACCUCUAUCACCUAUCAAUCAAAGGAGAUGGAGCUUUAGCAUGUCAUGAUUUCAUUUCAGUCCAACCUUAUUCGUGUAUCUUUCAUUUCUAAUACUCAUCAUCACGCAGUUAUAAUGACUUUCGGACUCUUGAGGAAUAGAACAUGCAAAGCGAAAUGAAAUAAGGCUUCUGUCUUGUACCCGUCUUCAUUUCUCCUGGGACUUGCAGUUGGAUUACGAAGCGGGAUCUCCCGAAAGCUCCUUCUCGGGACGGCAUAAGCAGCAAGCUGAAGCUGACGCGCAGCUGGGUCAUGCCGCAAGACUACUUGCAGGGAGUCUUCUGAAAUCGGUGGAGGAGGAGCUAAACCAGAGG
Molecule: long non-coding RNA, 4928 nt
Organism: Salvelinus fontinalis (brook trout)
Lineage: Eukaryota; Metazoa; Chordata; Actinopteri; Salmoniformes; Salmonidae
Exons: 3
Source: RefSeq, a predicted model, not a curated record